AUUGAACGCUGGCGGCAUGCCUUACACAUGCAAGUCGAACGGCAGCGGACCUUCGGGUGCCGGCGAGUGGCGAACGGGUGAGUAAUAUAUCGGAACGUACCUUUCAGUGGGGGAUAACGUAGCGAAAGUUACGCUAAUACCGCAUAUUCUGUGAGCAGGAAAGCAGGGGAUCGCAAGACCUUGCGCUGAUUGAGCGGCCGAUAUCAGAUUAGCUAGUUGGUGAGGUAAAGGCUCACCAAGGCGACGAUCUGUAGCGGGUCUGAGAGGAUGAUCCGCCACACUGGAACUGAGACACGGUCCAGACUCCUACGGGAGGCAGCAGUGGGGGAAUUUUGGACAAUGGGCGGCAAGACCUGAUCCAGCCAUGCCGCCGUGAGUGAAGAAGGA
RNAcentral lists this ribosomal RNA (387 nucleotides) under uncultured bacterium. Its description in RNAcentral is "bacterial SSU rRNA". It matches the Rfam family "Bacterial small subunit ribosomal RNA", at positions 30 to 415 of the family's 1533-position model. The record is from RNAcentral.